This 1337-nucleotide ribosomal RNA is filed under the name uncultured bacterium. RNAcentral's name for it is "bacterial SSU rRNA". It matches the Rfam family "Bacterial small subunit ribosomal RNA", at positions 28 to 1381 of the family's 1533-position model. The record is from RNAcentral.
GACGAACGCUGGCGGCGUGCUUAACACAUGCAAGUCGAACGGAAAGGCCCUUCGGGGUACUCGAGUGGCGAACGGGUGAGUAACACGUGGGUGAUCUGCCCUGCACUUUGGGAUAAGCCUGGGAAACUGGGUCUAAUACCGAAUAGGACCACGCGCUUCAUGGUGUGUGGUGGAAAGCUUUUGCGGUGUGGGAUGGGCCCGCGGCCUAUCAGCUUGUUGGUGGGGUAAUGGCCUACCAAGGCGACGACGGGUAGCCGGCCUGAGAGGGUGACCGGCCACACUGGGACUGAGAUACGGCCCAGACUCCUACGGGAGGCAGCAGUGGGGAAUAUUGCACAAUGGGCGCAAGCCUGAUGCAGCGACGCCGCGUGAGGGAUGACGGCCUUCGGGUUGUAAACCUCUUUCAAUAGGGACGAAGCGCAAGUGACGGUACCUAUAGAAGAAGCACCGGCCAACUACGUGCCAGCAGCCGCGGUAAUACGUAGGGUGCGAGCGUUGUCCGGAAUUACUGGGCGUAAAGAGCUCGUAGGUGGUUUGUCGCGUUGUUCGUGAAAACUCACAGCUUAACUGUGGGCGUGCGGGCGAUACGGGCAGACUAGAGUACUGCAGGGGAGACUGGAAUUCCUGGUGUAGCGGUGGAAUGCGCAGAUAUCAGGAGGAACACCGGUGGCGAAGGCGGGUCUCUGGGCAGUAACUGACGCUGAGGAGCGAAAGCGUGGGGAGCGAACAGGAUUAGAUACCCUGGUAGUCCACGCCGUAAACGGUGGGUACUAGGUGUGGGUUCCUUCCUUGGGAUCCGUGCCGUAGCUAACGCAUUAAGUACCCCGCCUGGGGAGUACGGCCGCAAGGCUAAAACUCAAAGGAAUUGACGGGGGCCCGCACAAGCGGCGGAGCAUGUGGAUUAAUUCGAUGCAACGCGAAGAACCUUACCUGGGUUUGACAUGCACAGGACGCCGGCAGAGAUGUCGGUUCCCUUGUGGCCUGUGUGCAGGUGGUGCAUGGCUGUCGUCGGCUCGUGUCGUGAGAUGUUGGGUUAAGUCCCGCAACGAGCGCAACCCUUGUCCUAUGUUGCCAGCGGGUUAUGCCGGGGACUCGUAGGAGACUGCCGGGGUCAACUCGGAGGAAGGUGGGGAUGACGUCAAGUCAUCAUGCCCCUUAUGUCCAGGGCUUCACACAUGCUACAAUGGCCGGUACAAAGGGCUGCGAUGCCGUGAGGUGGAGCGAAUCCUUUCAAAGCCGGUCUCAGUUCGGAUCGGGGUCUGCAACUCGACCCCGUGAAGUCGGAGUCGCUAGUAAUCGCAGAUCAGCAACGCUGCGGUGAAUACGUUCCCGGGCCU